Molecule: transfer RNA, 61 nt
Filed under: Singhiella simplex
Lineage: Eukaryota; Metazoa; Arthropoda; Insecta; Hemiptera; Aleyrodidae
Description: tRNA-Ala
Source: RNAcentral
AGAAUAGUAGUUUAUUAAAACAAGUAAGUUGCAAUUAUUAAAUGGAAUUCUCCCUAUUUUA